GUGGGGAAUUUUGGACAAUGGGCGAAAGCCUGAUCCAGCCAUGCCGCGUGCAGGAUGAAGGCCUUCGGGUUGUAAACUGCUUUUGUACGGAACGAAAAGACUCCUUCUAAUAAAGGGGGUCCAUGACGGUACCGUAAGAAUAAGCACCGGCUAACUACGUGCCAGCAGCCGCGGUAAUACGUAGGGUGCAAGCGUUAAUCGGAAUUACUGGGCGUAAAGCGUGCGCAGGCGGUUAUAUAAGACAGAUGUGAAAUCCCCGGGCUCAACCUGGGAACUGCAUUUGUGACUGUAUAGCUAGAGUACGGUAGAGGGGGAUGGAAUUCCGCGUGUAGCAGUGAAAUGCGUAGAUAUGCGGAGGAACACCGAUGGCGAAGGCAAUCCCCUGGGCCUGCACUGACGCUCAUGCACGAAAGCGUGGGGAGCAAACAGGAUUAGAAACCCGGGUAGUCC
RNAcentral lists this ribosomal RNA (450 nucleotides) under uncultured bacterium. Its description in RNAcentral is "partial 16S ribosomal RNA". It matches the Rfam family "Bacterial small subunit ribosomal RNA", at positions 354 to 796 of the family's 1533-position model. The record is from RNAcentral.